GAUGAACGCUGGCGGUGUGCCUAAUACAUGCAAGUCGAGCGAACAGACGAGGAGCUUGCUCCUCUGACGUUAGCGGCGGACGGGUGAGUAACACGUGGAUAACCUACCUAUAAGACUGGGAUAACUUCGGGAAACCGGAGCUAAUACCGGAUAAUAUAUUGAACCGCAUGGUUCAAUAGUGAAAGACGGUUUUGCUGUCACUUAUAGAUGGAUCCGCGCCGCAUUAGCUAGUUGGUAAGGUAACGGCUUACCAAGGCAACGAUGCGUAGCCGACCUGAGAGGGUGAUUGGCCACACUGGAACUGAGACACGGUCCAGACUCCUACGGGAGGCAGCAGUAGGGAAUCUUCCGCAAUGGGCGAAAGCCUGACGGAGCAACGCCGCGUGAGUGAUGAAGGUCUUCGGAUCGUAAAACUCUGUUAUUAGGGAAGAACAAAUGUGUAAGUAACUAUGCACGUCUUGACGGUACCUAAUCAGAAAGCCACGGCUAACUACGUG
Molecule: ribosomal RNA, 497 nt
Filed under: uncultured bacterium
Lineage: Bacteria
Description: partial 16S ribosomal RNA
Rfam family: Bacterial small subunit ribosomal RNA
Source: RNAcentral